RNAcentral lists this ribosomal RNA (440 nucleotides) under uncultured bacterium. RNAcentral's name for it is "partial 16S ribosomal RNA". It matches the Rfam family "Bacterial small subunit ribosomal RNA", at positions 338 to 795 of the family's 1533-position model. The record is from RNAcentral.
CCUACGGGAGGCAGCAGUGGGGAAUAUUGCACAAUGGGGGAAACCCUGAUGCAGCGACGCCGCGUGAGUGAAGAAGUAUCUCGGUACGUAAAGCUCUAUCAGCAGGGAAGAAAAUGACGGUAACUGGCUAAGAAGCCCCGGCUAACUAAGUGCCAGCAGCCGCGGUAAUACGUAGGGGGCAAGCGUUUUCCGGAUUUACUGGGUGUAAAGGGAGCGUAGACGGCAACACAAGUCUGGAGUGAAAUCCCGGGGCUUAACCCCGGAACUGCUUUGGGAACUGUGCGGCUGGAGUGCAGGAGGGGUAGGCGGAAUUCCUGGUGUAGCGGUGAAAUGCGUAGAUAUUAGGAGGAACACCGGUGGCGAAGGCGGCUUGCUGGACUGUAACUGACGUUGAGGCUCGAAAGCGUGGGGAGCAAACAGGAUUAGAUACCCUUGUAGUC